AAGUCGUAACAAGGUUUCCGUAGGUGAACCUGCGGAAGGAUCAUUACAGAGAACAUGCCCUUUAGGGGGUAUAUCUCCCACCCUUUGUUUACAAUACCUUUGUUGCUUUGGUGGGCCCGUCUUUUAGACCACCGGCCUUGGCUGGUCUGUGCCCACCAGAGGACCAAACAAUUCCUUUUAUUAUGUUGUCUGAGUCUAAAUAAUUUUUAUAAAACUUUCAACAACGGAUCUCUUGGUUCUGGCAUCGAUGAAGAACGCAGCGAAAUGCGAUAAGUAAUGUGAAUUGCAGAAUUCAGUGAAUCAUCGAAUCUUUGAACGCAUAUUGCGCCCUUUGGUAUUCCGAAGGGCAUGCCUGUUCGAGCGUCAUUAUCAACCAUCAAGCCUGGCUUGUCGUUGGACCCCUUUACCGCUGAAAUAUGUGGUAGGUCCGAAAGAUAAUGACGGCGUCGUGUUUGACCCUAGAUGCAACGAGCUUUUAAUAGCACGCAUUGAAGUGGUCGACCGACCCAGUCUUUAACCAUCAUUUUCUAAGGUUGACCUCGGAUCAGGUAGGAAUACCCGCUGAACUUAA
RNAcentral lists this ribosomal RNA (571 nucleotides) under uncultured fungus. Its description in RNAcentral is "eukaryotic LSU rRNA". The stretch from base 213 to 366 matches the Rfam family "5.8S ribosomal RNA". The record is from RNAcentral. Lineage: Eukaryota; Fungi.